This 44-nucleotide non-coding RNA is filed under the name Schistosoma margrebowiei. The record is from RNAcentral. Lineage: Eukaryota; Metazoa; Platyhelminthes; Trematoda; Strigeidida; Schistosomatidae.
ACCUGCUGACGAGUCCAAAAUGGGACGAAACACACGUCCUAGAU